AAGAGUGAAACUCAAAGGAAUUGACGGGGACCCGAACAAGUAGCGGAGCAUGUGGGUUAAUUCGAAGCAACGCGAAGAACCUUACCUAAGCUUGACAUCCCAAUGACAUCUCCUUAAUCGGAGAGUUCCUUUCGGGGACAUUGGUGACAGGUGGUGCAUGGUUGUCGUCAGCUCGUGUCGUGAGAUGUUGGGUUAAGUCCCGCAACGAGCGCAACCCUUGUCUUUAGUUGCCAUCAUUAAGUUGGGCACUCUAGAGAGACUGCCAGGGAUAACCUGGAGGAAGGUGGGGAUGACGUCAAAUCAUCAUGCC
This 310-nucleotide ribosomal RNA is filed under the name Clostridioides difficile. RNAcentral describes it as "bacterial SSU rRNA". It matches the Rfam family "Bacterial small subunit ribosomal RNA", at positions 890 to 1199 of the family's 1533-position model. Lineage: Bacteria; Bacillati; Bacillota; Clostridia; Peptostreptococcales; Peptostreptococcaceae. The record is from RNAcentral.